This 487-nucleotide ribosomal RNA is filed under the name uncultured bacterium. RNAcentral describes it as "partial 16S ribosomal RNA". It matches the Rfam family "Bacterial small subunit ribosomal RNA", at positions 28 to 507 of the family's 1533-position model. The record is from RNAcentral.
GACGAACGCUGGCGGCGUGCUUAACACAUGCAAGUCGAACGGGCUCUGUCUGGCUGUGUGCUGGGUGGGGUUAGUGGCGAACGGGUGAGUAAUACGUGAGUAACCUGCCCUCUUCUUUGGGAUAAGCCUUGGAAACGGGGUCUAAUACUGGAUAUUCCUGUCUGGUCGCAUGGCUGGGUGGGGAAAGUUUUUUUCGGUGGGGGAUGGGCUCGCGGCCUAUCAGCUGGUUGGUGGGGUGAUGGCCUACUAGGGCGUCGACGGGUAGCCGGCCGGCGGGGGUGACCGGCGAAACUGGGACUGGGAAACGGCCCCGACUCCGACGGGAGGCAGCAGUGGGGGAUAUUGGACAAUGGGCGCAAGCCUGAUGCAGCGACGCCGCGUGGGGGAUGACGGCUUUCGGGUUGUAAACCUCUUUCGUCGGGGGACAAGGCUCUGCUUGGUGGUGGGGUUGAGGGUACCCGGUGAAGAAGCGCCGGCUAACUACGUG